CGGAAUUCGUUAUCUCUGUGAAGAGUGUGGAUGGCAACAGGACCAGUUGCCCAUUUGGACAUCCUCCAAAACCUGGUGGCUAAUACACGCAGGAGACAGUCUGCCAUGCUAGUGUCCAGCUGGAAACCUCCGGGUGGAAGGUUUGGAGCACAUGGUGGAUUGCAACUGGCUGUAUGCAAGACCGGCGCCAGUCAAUGGCAGUGUGGCAGCUGAAUCAAGCCAGUCCUAAUGGACACCCGCUCUGGAGGUCUAGUGCUCCGGCACUGCCCCUUGAUCACACGAACUUCUGACCUAUCAGCUUUGACUGUAGGGUAGUGGCCUACAGUGGCUUUCACAGGUGACGGAGAAUUUGGGUUCGAUUCCGGAGAGGGAGCCUGAGAGACGGCUACCACUACCAAGGUGGGCAGCAGGCGCGCAAAUUGCCCAAUACAGACACAUCUUGUGAGGCAGCGACGAACUGCAGCAAUCCUGCAGGCAUCCUUGCCUGCAGGACUUGGAAUGGAUGCUAUCCAAACACAGUGAUGAGUAACGACUGGAGGGCAAGUCUGGUGCCAGCAGCUGCGGUAAUUCCAGCUCCAAGGGCGUAUACUAACAUUGCUGCUGUUAAAGCACUUGUAGUCUGCCACUGGGCUGCAGGUCUGCUGGAUGGCCGGCUGGCUUGGGUACACUGCUGCAUGUUCCUUCGGGGAUGUGACAGGGUUGCCUGGGUUGGUUGGAACACAACCUCUGGCAGUAUGUCCCUGCUCCCAACAACACUGGAUGGUGAGAAGCAUUGCUCCUGCACAAAGACUUCUUCAGUGAAGUCCAAGGCGGUUACACAGCUGAGGCAUGUCUGGACAUCACAGGCUGAGCUCUCUUCAUGAUGGCAGCCUAGUCCACCUCCGGAGUCCACCAUCAGUGCAACCCUGGAUAACUCAGUGUGCUCCAAGCGUCCAGUCUUGGCUGGAUGCUCAUCCAUGGAAUUGCAAAGCAUCGACCGAACGUGGCAUCAGAGUUGUGCUGGCCUUGGCGCCUGUUCCGGAUAAUGUGGAGCUGUUCCCUGGCUGUGGCUGAAGCCUCACUCACCCUGGCCAAAACCAGGGAGUGCUGUGGUCUUCCAGCACUACCAGUAAGAGCAGUAUCCAACCGCUGAUGAUGGGAAUGCUCAGGGUGAAACCUAUUGCAACGCCAGAGGUGAAAUUCUUAGACCGCUGCAAGAGGGACAGCAGCGAAGGCGUUCUGCAAGUCCAUGUCCGUCGAUCAAGAAUGAGAGUGUGGGGAGCGAAGAUGAUCAGACACCGUCGUAGUCCACUACUGUAAACUAUGCCGGCUCAGUCUUGGUGAGGCAAGUAUCCGGACCUCAUCAGGACUAGUCCCCCUUCAACGAGAAAUCCAAGCCUUUGGGUUCAGGGGGGAGUACUGUCGCAAGGCUGGAACUUAAAGGAAUUGACGGAAUGGCACCACAAGGCGUGGAGUAUGCGGCUUAAUUUGACUCAACACGGGGAAUGUUACCAGGUCAGGACCUUGCUAGGAUGGACAGACUGACAGCUCUUUCUUGAUUCCAGGGAUGGUGGUGCAUGGCCGCUCCUGAUUGGUGGAGUGAUUUGUCUGGUUGAUUCCGAUAACGAGUGAGAUCUCUGCCUUCCAAUAGCCCCAAGCUCAUAUCUGUAGGGUAGGCAUCAGUGAAGUCCGCGGAGGCAACUCUGACCGGGCACUGCUUGUCUCCUGAGAGCUCUGGGUAAUCAGCUUCUCUGAGGUGCUGUGUACGCUGCCAAGUGCACGCAUGCUAGAGCCAACAGCAGGUCUGUGAUGCUCCCAGAUGUCCUGGGCCGCACGCGCACUACAUUGCUUCAGUGAAGGUGUUACACUCUCUUGCAGAGUCCUAUCCAGAAGUGGAUGGGAAACCAUCCAAGCCUGAGGCGUACUGGGGAUAGAUGAUUGCAACUGUCUGCCUUGAACGAGGAAUGCCUAGUAUGCGCAUUCAUCAGCAUGACAGAUGGGUUUUA
RNAcentral lists this ribosomal RNA (1985 nucleotides) under Trachelomonas varians. Its description in RNAcentral is "SSU rRNA". It matches the Rfam family "Eukaryotic small subunit ribosomal RNA", at positions 107 to 1653 of the family's 1831-position model. The record is from RNAcentral. Lineage: Eukaryota; Euglenozoa; Euglenophyceae; Euglenales; Euglenaceae.